This 919-nucleotide long non-coding RNA is filed under the name Marmota monax (woodchuck). The record is from RNAcentral. Lineage: Eukaryota; Metazoa; Chordata; Mammalia; Rodentia; Sciuridae.
CAGCCACAUGAUCUCUGUGGAAACCACAUGCUGAUUUCUCUCCUUGUUUAAAACCUGCCAGAAAUUUCCCAUGGGGCUUAGACUCUUGACCCGGUUUACGGACCUCUGACCUUGACUCAGCCUGUGUCACACACUCUACCUGUCUCAUGCCAUUCUCUUGCAUGCCUGGCAGUUUCUUUCUUUUCUUAAGGUCUUUUUGUUUUUCUUUUUGGAGGAGGAAAAGUUUAUUUGCUCAUGGUUACAGAGGUUCAGUCCAUGAUCUUUAUGGCCCUCUAAUUCCAUUGCUCUGGGCUUAAGGUGAGGCAGAACAUCAUGACAUAAGGACACGGUUAAAAAAGCUGUCAGCUCAUGGCAGCCAGGAAACAGAGAGAUCAGGUGCAGGUGUUCUCUGAGAAUCUUUGUAUUGUUCAUUCCUUCUGCUGGGAUGCUGUUCCUCCUGCUCAUUUCUUGACAGUUGUAUCUGAGUUUCAAUGUCAGCUCCUCUGGGAUACUUUGACUGACCUCAGUCACCACUCUUAGGCCACCCACCUUUGAAUCUGUGUGUACUUACCACCAUCUGUUGAUUUAUGAGUUCACGAUCUGUCUUCCUUUGCAUGAGCAGAAACCUCAUAGGUUGUUUUUUUGUUGUGUUGUGUUGUGUGGUUUUUGUGGUGCUGAGGGUUGAACCCAGGGCCUCGCACUUGCUGGGCAAGUACUUUACCAGUCCUUUUUCUUUUAUUCUGAGGCAGUCCUAAGGCUGGCCUUGAACUUAAGAUCCUUCUGUGUGCGGGUCACUGAGAUCACAGGCGUGUACCAGUGCACCCAGCUUCCAUUUGUUUUUUAUUAGCAUAUGCUAGUUCCCAGAAAGUUUCCAGACACAGUAGGAUUUUUUUUUUUUAAACACUCAACGAUCCUACAUGUUAUGCCAUCAUCACCCAAA